GCCAACUCUCAUCAGGACUUUGACGAUCGGCGUCGGCCUUGGGAGAGGCAGAAGGACCGCGACGACAGGGACUUCCGCAGUGGAAAUGAAUGACAACCGGCACAGGGAGCGAGACCGCGAACGAGGGCGAGAUCGGAAUCGGGAGCGAGAGAGAGACAGAGAAUGGGAUAACGAUAAGGAAAGAGACAGGGAGCGCGGCGGCUGGGCGCCUCCUACUUCGCAACCUUCUCCUCCCUCUUCCCAGACCAUCCCAACCACUGCUCCCUCUACCCACACCUCUGCUAAACCUGCCUCCGUCUCAGCCCGAGUCGCAUCCUAAACCUGUCCUGCACGAGCCGAGACAAGCCGAACCACAGCCGGAAGCGAAGCCACCCCUGCAGCCGCAGCCUGACAGAGAGAGUGCAGGCGGCCAGGACAACAAAGGCACCUUUAGUGACAGUGUUCACGACCUGGACUCUAAACCCGAAACCGACUCGGAACCCACAGCCGAGCCGUCUCGCCCCUCCCCCGCCCGCUCCCACAGCCAAGCCCCUAAACGAUACGCAAGCCCCGGAAGUUUCCGCUUCCCCGCUCGUGGCUGCAGGCGGCGGCGGCGGACAGACCGCGCCGAAGGAAGAAGCCGAGACUGGGACUGAGCCUGAGCUAGUGAAAACGGACACUGAGGAAACAUAAUCGUCACUCAGUAGCCGUUUUCUUUCCGCUUGCUCCUGGAUUGCGUGCUCCUCCCUCAGAGUGACCUUUGUCUCCUGUCGGUCCGAGUGAAUUGGUUCCCGGGGUCGGGGUUCGCCGAUUAAUCCGCGUCUCUAACAGGAAGUGAUUCCGAGAACAGCUGCUACUAAACAACACGUCGUUGUGAUGGAACCCGGAGACUCAUGAACUUAACCGUAAGUGGUUUUUGGGUUGAACGUGGA
Molecule: long non-coding RNA, 911 nt
Organism: Ictalurus punctatus (channel catfish)
Lineage: Eukaryota; Metazoa; Chordata; Actinopteri; Siluriformes; Ictaluridae
Source: Ensembl